Molecule: non-coding RNA, 72 nt
Organism: Phrynosoma platyrhinos (Desert horned lizard)
Lineage: Eukaryota; Metazoa; Chordata; Lepidosauria; Squamata; Phrynosomatidae
Source: the annotation of a GenBank genome assembly
GCCAGAGUGGUAUAGUGGGUUGAAUGUUGGACUCUGACUCUGGAGAUCGGGGUUCAAAUCCCCGCUUGAGCG